This 361-nucleotide long non-coding RNA is filed under the name Serinus canaria (Common canary). Its description in RNAcentral is "lncRNA (ENSSCAG00000012734.1)". The record is from RNAcentral. Lineage: Eukaryota; Metazoa; Chordata; Aves; Passeriformes; Fringillidae.
GUAAAUAUCUGAUCCACACUGUCAGCUGUUGCAGCCUGCAGCAGCUCUGUCAGGCUUAUGGAUGCCUUAUGGUGCUCUGCCUGCUUUUUUGGGUACUGCAGGUUUUGGAAGACUGGAAAGAAUCUGCCUAUGGAUGUUUUCUCCUUCUGCUUUGCCAAGUCACAGAAUGUGACAACUGGUUUGUUCCAAGGAUAUAAGUGCAAGACAGGCUUGCUGAGGUGCUGGGAUAUAUGAAGAGGUCUGGAGUGAAGAAGAUGCCCUGUUUGACACUGUCUCCAAAAAUCAUGGGUCUGAUUAUAUAUAGCUCCUUGGUUUGAAAGAAAAUAAUAAAUCAGCAAAACAAAUGUUUGAAGAGGGUUGG